AUGAGCCAAAAGACAACAACAACAACAGAGUCAGGAGAAAGCCCGAAGCUGUCGGCUCAGAGAAGUGAUGCUUUGAACCUAGACGCUUUUUCAGGAGACAUAGAGCUGAAGGUUUACAUCCAGGGUCCUGGGACUGAGACAAACAACAUUAAACAACUUCUAAACGAGUUUCAAGGACUUUACGAGCAGAGGUUCAGAUGCCUGGAGCUGGACACCACCGCAACCCGAGAAGACCUGCUGCAGAGGAAAGUGAAUUUCCUGCGGUCUUAUGUCAGUGACCUCACAGACCAGAACCAGGUGCUGGUUCAGACCAUUGAGGAUCUGCAGGAGGAAACUGACCACAAGGUUUCCAACUGGGCAAUGAAGCCACACACCUCUGCUCACAGUUUGGAAGACUUGAAUCAACAAAGGACAUCCCUGGAGCAAAGUGUGUAUGCUCUGCUCCGAGAAGAAAGAUCUGAGGUGUCUGCUGUUGAUUUGAAGACUAUUUUACUGGAUGAGCUUGUUGGACCUGCAGUUCACAUCCCAGACAGUACUGCUUCCUUGGUCCAGAUUGCAUCCGAGUUAGAAGACCUGAAAAUCCAGUUGCAAACCAAGGACAUCUUCAUCUCUGAUCUGGAGAAGGAGCUCAGGGAGAAUUUCCAGCAAAAGCAAAAGACUGCAACACAGGUGCUGGAAAGUAGUGAGAGGCUGGUGCACCUGCAGAGCGAGCUCUCUUGUCUGCAGCGGAUCCAGAAAGACAACAUGAAGGAGAUUGCUGAGAAAAACAUCUGCAUCACCAAGCUGCAAGCUAACAUUCAGCUGCUGCAACAAGAGGGGGCCGACACACAUGCUCAGCUCUCCAAACUGAGUGUGAGAGCGAAGGAGCUUCAGCAGGAUGAGCUGAAGAGAAAAGAGGAGGAAUGGAGGCAAAGAGAAGAGGAACAGAGACUGAAACAUGAAAAGGAGAUUCAACAAGCAGAGGAGAGGAGAAGGCAGGAGCAACAAACAAGAGAGGAGGAGGAGUGGGUGAAGAAAGUGGAGGAGGAGAGGAAGAGGCAGGAGUGGAAGAGGGAGCGUGAGGAGGAGAGAAAGACCCUUGCUGAAGCUGUUAAAAAGUGGUCUGAGAAGGCAGCUAUUUUGAAUUCUGAGUUGAAGGUCAGCAGGAAGCAGGUGGAGCGACAGAACAGGGAGCUGUCAGAGUCUCACCAGAAGGAGGAGACGCUUCUCUCUGAGGCCGAGGCCAAAAUGGUGUCUUUGAGGUGCGAGCUCACCGCCUUAUUUGAUGGAAUGAUGGAGAAGAAAGGGGUGAGGAUAAACCAACUAACUGAAGAGCUGAAUGCAGUGACUCAAAAGAUGAAAGAGAGAGAAGAGCAUGUGAGGCACCUGGACCAGGAUGUGGUUGGUUUGCGAGCCACACAGGACUCUCUAAAGAGAACCUUGGCUAUGAAGGAGGAACACACACAACAGCUGGUCCAAGACAACACGCAGCUCAAAGAAAGCUUGGCUUCACUGCAGAGCAAACUACAAACGAGCGAGUGCAUGUUGAGUGACAUCAGUGAAUCCCUGGAUCAGGCCAAAAUCGCCCUGAAUGCGGAAAGACAGCAGAGGCAGCAGAUCCAGGACCAGUUGCACCAUGCCAACAAAGAGAUGGAGCGUCUGCGGCAGGAACUGACACAUGUGCGUCACACCAGUGAAAAGAAGAUCCAGAAGAGGGAGAUUAAGAUGUGCGUGAUGAUGAAAGAGCUCACAGAGAGUAAGAAGCAGCACUCUGAAUGUCAGAACGAGUUGCUCCGAAGAGAGAAAGCUUCUGAGAAACUGUACGAGGAGAGGGAUGAACUGAUAGCCAAGAUGGAGGACCGGGGCAGAGAGUGUGUCCACCUCAACCAGACCAAAGACAGACUGGAGGCGGAUUUGGCUCUGAGCCAUGAGAAACUCCACACCUCACACCUGGAGGUUCGAAGCAGAGAUCAGUUAAUUCUGCAGUUGAGAGCUGAAAUGAAAACAGCUGAACAAAAGCAUCAAAGGACACAGGGACAGGUGGCAGCGCUGGAGGGUGAGUUAAGCCACUUGAAACCCAAGGUCAGAGGACACCAGGAAGAGGCCUGUCAGUUAAGAGAAAAGGUCAGAGGUAUUGAGCGCCUUAAAGACCAGAAGGAGAAAGAACAACAGCAGCUACACGAUCAGCUCCGUAUUAGUCAGCAACAGGUCGAGACAUUUGAAGGGAAGCUAAAGGAGCAGGAGGUUGAGAUGGGACUUCUUCAUCAGCAGCUUAAAGGAGCCAAGGAGGAGCUGAAAGAUGCCCAGGGGCAGAAAGAAACUGCAGCCAUCUUUAAACAAAAGUACACAGCAGCAAUAGAGAAGGUGCAUAGGGUGCAAGAGCAUGUGGAACUUUUGGAUGAGGAGCUACAGUAUUCACAGCAACAGCUAAGAGAGUCCCAAUCAGCAACUCAGUCGGUGAAGGAAGAGCUAGCUGAGAUGGUGAAGCGGUACCAGGAAAAGGUUGGCCAAUGGGAGAAUGCACAGGAGGCUCUUGACCAGUUGACAGAUGAGCUCCAGGCCAAUCAGAAUCUGCUGAAGGAGAGUCAGCAAAAAGUGGACCUUCUCAAAGGUCUUAUAGGAUCACUGCAGGAACAGGUGGACACACUCAAACAGCAGAAACUGAUGUUGGAGUGUGACCUACAGCUGUAUCAGCAGAGUCAUUCUCAUUCUGACGAGGAGUAUCUCAGCCUGUUGAGACACAGACAGCAGCUGCAGAAGCGCUGUACCGAGCAGGUUGAGGGCCUUGCGGAGUGUGAAAAGGCUAUUCUUCAGAUGAAGUCAGAGCUGCAGAGACAAACCCAGGAAAAAGUGGGUCUGAAGCAAAGUCUUGUUGCGUCUCGCCGUACGCACAUCAGCAAUCGCAGCCAGCUGGAACAGGAAGUGCUAUGUUUGAAAAAGGAAGUUACACGUUUAGAGCUUGAGCUGUCAGACACCCAAAAGGUACAUGUGGCACUUCUGAGACAGUCAGAGGGGGAGCUGAAGGAGGCCAGACGAGAGGCGGCGAGAAGGAGCAACGAGGUGGGUGUGCAGAGAGGAGAGGUGCAAAGACUUCAGGAAGAGUUACAAAAGUGGGAGGAGGAGAUGAGGAGUGCCAUCAGAGAGAAACAGAGUCUCAGCAGUCACAUCAGGCGGUUGAACCAAGAGCUGGAGGAGCUACGCAGCAAGCACAAAGUGACAGUGGAGGAGUUGGCAGCCCGUGCAGAGGAGGCGAGGCGGAUGGAGGGGUGCCUGAAUGAGGGAAAGCUAGCAGAGGAGAAAAUAAGGUCAAUGGCUGUGAGGCUGGAGACGGAGGUGGCAGAGCUCAGGAGGAAUCUGCAGCAUGCUGUCGAUCACAAACUCAAGGCAGAGCGAGAGAAACAGGACGCACAGGACCAGGUGGAUACACUCCGGUCAGAGCUGGAGGGGACAUGGUCUGACAAUACAAACCUUCGCCAUGAGAGCCAGCUGGUCAUGACGAAUGUCAACAGUUGGAUUACUGAACAAAAGGCUUCCAAUGAGAGCAUCAUUGCCCAGAUGAAGGCCCAAAACAAGCUGCUGCUCAUCAUCACUGAAGAAAAAGAACAUCUUCAGGAGGCUAAUGACACAUUGAAGGCGGAGGUAAAGAGACUGAAAGAAGUGGCGGAUGAGAAGGAGAGAGACACGGAACGCUUCAAGGCCCAGAUUCGAGACCAGGGCACCCGGCAAGACGAGAGAACCAUGGAAACACAGGGUUGUGUGGCUCUAAACCUCAGCAAAAUCGAGGACAUGCAGACAAGACUGCGACACAACCUGGAGGCCAUCGGAAUGCUAAAUCAACAAUUAAACGCCCUCAGCAGGGAGAAUAAGCAGUUGCGUAGGCAGCUGGAGGAGGAGAGGUCCAUGCGACUGCUCCUUCCUCCUCCCACCUCCCAACAGCGCUCCUUCUCCCGCCCACCUCCUCCCUCCGCCUCCCUACCCUCAUCCCUCCGCCUCCCUCAUCCCCUGAACCUGGACACAGCAGCGGGAGACACUGACAGGACUGUAAACCAAACCAAGCUGAGCAGUACUAGGCUAGAGAGACCAGGUGAGUCCCAGGCUUUGGGUGAAGCGUUCUGGAUUAGGCCGCCUGGCUCUGCCUCCCUGGAAGAUGCUCUGUCUGGGAGGACAAGCAGGGAUCUGACCAAGUGAAGCCCCCUGAAGACUCUGACCUGUCAUGACUUUUUGACCUCCAGCUGCUCACCAGGGAGUGUACUCAGUAUGAGGUUAAUGUCCUGCAGGUCAAAGUCAAGUCCCUGAGUGCUUUUUGCCUGAGGGGGCCUCCAGAACCAGUGAAUGAUGGAAUUCCAUCAAAUCGAAAUCUCAAAAAUGUCUACUACAUCAUGAAGACAUUUACUCCAAGAUAUGAACAUAUUCACAUUUCUUACUUUUAAAAAAAUGAAUUGGUUGCAUCCUCAAAGUGUUGCAAUGCUCUGAGCAGUGUUGGUUUAUAACAUUUGCAAUUACUUCUUCUUUUGCAACAAAACUGUAGCACUAAGCACUAAAAUAUUGUUUGUGUCUGUACCUUUUUAAAAAUUCCAUCAGUUCUGAGAAACUAUAAUCAAUUUAAUUCCACUUAAAUGAACUAAACAGAACAAGUGACUAACUCCAAAUUCUUUAGUGUUGAUGAAUGUGUCUCACACUGGAGAUGGAAGCUGUGGAUAAAUGAGGGACGGCAGAUCAUCAGGAUCCACAGACAUACCUCAGAUGUUGAUGCGAAUGGCUAUAACACAGUCUCUGAUUAUGCUGCAGCUGUGCGCCAUGUGUCCUCCAUCUACUGCGGUGAAUGUGGCCGUGUGUCUUUAUGUGUGAGUACGUUAUGUGUCUGCGUGUUUAUGUCUCUCUGUGAGUGCUUGUGUGUGAUUGAAUGUUGAUUAUUGUAGAUGCUGUUUUAUAUUUUUGUUUUAUUCUUUAAAAACUAUUUAUUGAUCUUUUUUUCCCCUCUGUUGCUGUGUUUAAGCCCCGCGUGUCAUAAAGGUGGAAAAAUAAAAACAGAUACAUUUGUAAAUGGUUGUAAAUUUUCCCCAUUUUUAUUUUCGCUGUCAGUGUACCAACAAUAUCUUAUUUCUACCAGUUGGAUUUAUGUAACAACAGGCUAGAAAUGCUACCUGUUACCAUGGCAUAAUUAGGCAUUUGUACAGUUUUACAUGACUGCUGAGACACAAAGAUGGUGACAACAUUUCUAAGCAGCAACAUUUUUUUUUUUUACAAAAGAUCUAAAAUGCGGCUUCGAAGCAGGGACUAUGGCACACUCACACCAUAUUGACUUGCUA
Long non-coding RNA from Dicentrarchus labrax (European seabass), 5288 nucleotides. Lineage: Eukaryota; Metazoa; Chordata; Actinopteri; Moronidae. The record is from Ensembl.